Molecule: ribosomal RNA, 113 nt
Filed under: Bacillus amyloliquefaciens
Lineage: Bacteria; Bacillati; Bacillota; Bacilli; Caryophanales; Bacillaceae
Also listed under: 3 other names
Description: partial 23S ribosomal RNA
Rfam family: Bacterial large subunit ribosomal RNA
Source: RNAcentral
GGUUAAGUUAGAAAGGGCGCACGGUGGAUGCCUUGGCACUAGGAGCCGAUGAAGGACGGGACGAACACCGAUAUGCUUCGGGGAGCUGUAAGCAAGCUUUGAUCCGGAGAUUU